This 254-nucleotide ribosomal RNA is filed under the name uncultured bacterium. RNAcentral's name for it is "partial 16S ribosomal RNA". It matches the Rfam family "Bacterial small subunit ribosomal RNA", at positions 524 to 776 of the family's 1533-position model. The record is from RNAcentral.
UACAGAGGGGGCAAGCGUUGUUCGGAAUUACUGGGCGUAAAGGGCGCGUAGGCGGCCUACUAAGUCGAACGUGAAAUCCCCGGGCUUAACCCGGGAACUGCGUCCGAUACUGGUUGGGCUUGAAUCCGGGAGAGGGAUGUGGAAUUCCAGGUGUAGCGGUGAAAUGCGUAGAUAUCUGGAGGAACACCGGUGGCGAAGGCGGGUCUCUUGGCAGUAACUGACGCUGAGAAGCGAAAGCGUGGGGAGCGAACAGG